UCUUCUUUUACUUUAUUUUUUUUCAAAAUCUUUUUACUUAAUCCUCACUUAUCCCACACCCAAAUGUUAGGAUAUCUACUCUAAAAUCUAUAGAGGGCAUCCCCUAUAAAUAGAAAAUGCAAAGGUGCAUAGGUCUCCCAAGGGGCGCCAACUCUUGGUGCUCCACCUUCUCACAUGAGAAAAUGAAUCCUCAUACAAGAAUAAAUGGUGUGGAGAGUCCCAAGUAUAGAAAAACUCUUCCUCUUCCACACCCAUAAAUAUCAUUUGUUAAUGAUGUGUGAAAGAAAUAAAUGGAGUGGGAAAUAAUGAGAUAUAUUAAAAGAAAGUCUCUUCUUUUACCACACCCAUAAAUUUUGGCAUUGAAUUUAGGUGCGUGACAUGGAGAAUCUCUUUCACACAUAAAAUACUUUCAUGUAAAGGUAAAAAACUAAUUAAAUAUAGAUCUAAUCUAAUU
RNAcentral lists this long non-coding RNA (454 nucleotides) under Elaeis guineensis (African oil palm). RNAcentral describes it as "long non-coding RNA (EGUI_LNC051135)". Lineage: Eukaryota; Viridiplantae; Streptophyta; Magnoliopsida; Arecales; Arecaceae. The record is from RNAcentral.